This is a non-coding RNA of Caenorhabditis elegans, 21 nucleotides long. NCBI's taxonomy places the organism in Eukaryota, Metazoa, Nematoda, Chromadorea, Rhabditida, Rhabditidae. The record is from Ensembl.
UACUAGAGAAGUAGAAGUCAU